This 3612-nucleotide long non-coding RNA is filed under the name Homo sapiens (human). RNAcentral's name for it is "HSALNT0254830". Lineage: Eukaryota; Metazoa; Chordata; Mammalia; Primates; Hominidae. The record is from RNAcentral.
UAGGAUCUUGCUAUGUUGCCCUGGCUGGGAUGCAGCGGCUAUUCACAGGUGCAAUCAUAGUGCACUACAGCCUCAAACUCCUAGCCUCAAGCAAUCCUCAUGCCUCAGCCUCCAGAGUAGCUGGGCCUACAGGUACUUAACACCUCAUCUGGCAUCCCCCAGUCAGAUAUUUGGAUGAGACCCCUGCCUUGGCUAACACCUUGAUGAAAACCUGUGGAAGGUUCUAAGGCAGGAGCAAUAGCAAAAAUUGGGAAUGGGAAGAAACAGGUACCAGCCAGGACACCUGAACGAACUUGGAGCUCAGGAACCCAGGAGGGGAUUGGAGAGAGUGGGGAGACUCCAUGGUCCACAAUGAAUGCUCCUUCCCCAUCCGAAAAAAUCCCCUAGCCCAGUUUUUGGGCAGAUGCCAGACUUUUAUUCUGAAGCGUGGGCCACAACCUAUGAGGUAAUCUUUGGAGCUUCAUUCUGAGGCGGAAUCCCAUUGGCCAGUUGGGGAAGCCCCUCCCAGGAUUCCUGGCGCUCCGCCUUCCCUGAAGCCUAUAAAAGCGCAGGUCCCCGCCUCGGCAGCCACGGGACACCUGCAUCUGCCAACAAGACUGGAAGCAGAAAGGGACAGAGACGGCGAAGUUUGACGGUCUGGAAAGCAGAGACCAGCAGGGCUGACUGCUUGGGAGCACGAGGGACAGCUCUCCACCGACCGAAGGAGGAGAAUGCUAUUUAUUUCAGCACCAAAUAUCCGGACAGCGCCUCUCGGGAGGUCCGAGAAGAGAACCGCGAUCUGUUUCAGCACCGGGGCUCAGGACAGUUCCCAGCGGGCUCCGUUUCGUCUCCAGAACCCUGGACAGCUCCUCCAGUAGAGACGGGGUUUCACCAUGUUGGCCAGGCUGGUCUCAAACUCUUGACCUCUUCAUCCGUCCACCUCAGCCUCCCAAAGUGCUAGGAUUACAGGCGUGAGUCACUGCGCCUGGCCCAAGUCCGGAAUUUUCAACAGGACAUGGGUGUUACUGUGCCCAUGUGACAUUUGGGGAACCCAAGGCCCUGAGAAAGGCAGAAAAAUAACCCACGCAGGGACUCUCAGCCCACAAGUGAAGCUGAGAACCGGGAAUGGAAAACAGGGAGGCAGCACAGAGGCAGGAAACUCAGGUGUCAUAGCUUGGCUCAGCUUGGAAUGCACUCCCUCCACCUCCAACCAGAGCUCCCCACAACUGACCCUGCCUUCUUCUGCAAGCUCCAUUUCAUCAAGGGAAACGAUCCUUAUUGCCUCACCAUUUCCCACGUGAAGUCUGUAUUGACAUUCUCAUAGACCUGGGAUAUUGUGUCUGCAGCACAUAGUCCAAUUAUUUUCAUGUUAUCUACUGACAGGUCUAUUUGUCUCCCUGUUACACUGUGAGCUCCGUGAGGGCAGAAACAAUGUUAGUAUUUUCACUGCUGUGUCCCCAGCGCCUGGUCCGGGGCCCGGCACACAGCAGGCAUAUAAUAAGCAUGUGUUGAAUCAAUAAAGGCAUCAAAGAAUAAACCAAUACAUCAAUCAAUAAAUGAAUGAAUGGCCUCAGCACACACAGGAAGAUCCUUCUUCUAGGUCUCCCCCAGAGAGAUACUGGAGGGCAAUGGUUGCUGGAGGUGUUUAUUGGGGAAGCAUAAUUGAAUUUGUGGACACUUAAGGGCCGGCCAGCCAACUCACAGCCCCAAGAGAGAGAGCCAGGCUCAUUUAAUUAGCAAUUACAAGGCACUGAUUCCUCAUUAGCUCUGGCAACCCUCGUCUCCCUCCUCAGCCCCAGACAAAUGAAAUCUUUCUCUCUCUCCCAGGAGUACUGCCUCAGUGGGUCCAUUAACAAGCAGAGAAAAUGAGAUUAGAAGACACCUAAAUGCCAGAGGCACUUUAUGAAUGGGCUGAGCAGAGGGAGGUUCAAUGUCUGGGUUAGGUCUAAUUGUGGGAGGUUUCCUGGUCUAUUUAGAAUUGCCCCCUGGGAAUGCAAGGUCUUUCAGAAAGGAAAAGGCACACAGAUAUUGCCUUCUGGGGUCCUCAAUGGAGGAGGACAUUCUGCUAUGGGUGUCUCCCAGUCACCCCAAAUUAAUCAUUUCAAAGUGAACACUCAAUCUGCCCAGCCCCUAGCUUCCUCCCCUGACAUGCCCAUGAAUAUGACAGUCCCUCUACAUGCCCAAGAUCCUCCCCUCCUCAUCCACUCCCCAUGAUCCCCAAGAUGAGUCACUGUGCUCAAAUCCAUCCUCUCUCCUCCAGCCCUCUGCCUCCAUGACCUCCCUCCAGCCCUCUGCCUCCAUGACCUCCGCCUCCCUGCAUGUCCGGAUCUCCUCACUGUCUCCCCUCUGAGCAUACACACACAUACAGCCUGUUCAUUCUCUACAUGCAGCGAGGGGACUUUCCAGAACACACAUCUGACCAAGUUCCACUCCUGCCUGUCACCCUUCCAAGAGCCCCACUGACUGCAGAAUAACGUUCAAAUAUCCGGUUGGGCGUGGUGGCUCAUGCCUGCAGUCCCAGCACUUUGGGAGGCCAAGGUGGGUGGAUCACUUGCACAGGACCACAGGCGUGUGCCACCACACCCAGCUAAUUUUUAUAUUUUUGGUAGAGACGGAGUUUCACCAUGUUGGCCAGGCUGACCUCAAGUGAUCCACCCGCCUCAACCUCCCAAAGUGCUGGGAUUACAGGCAUGAGUCACUGCACCGGUCUAAUUUUUUCAGAGUCUCACUCUUGCCCAGGCUGGAGUGCAGUAGCAUGAUCUCGGUUCACUGCAACCUCUGCCUCCUGGUUUCAAGCGAUUCUCUUGGCUCAGCCUCCUGAGCAGCUGGGAUUACAGGCACGUGCCACCACACUUAGCUAAUUUUUGUAUUUUUAGUAGAGAUGGGGGUCUCACCAUGCUGGCACAGUUGGUCUUGAACUCCUGACCUCAAGUGAUCCACCCACCUCGGCUUCCCAAAGUGCUGGGAUUACAGACGUGAGCCACCGCGCCCGGCCAGCCUUUAUUGAUUCUUUUUAAAGCCACACUAACCUUUUAUUUUCCCCCAAAGACCCCUGGGAGCCCUCAGUUUUUCCUGGCAGUUUCAUCUUUGUACCCCUGACCUCCCCACACACACGCCUAGCUCAGUGCUGGCAUCCAAUAUUCACUUUGGGUAUAAAUGCUUGUGCCUGAGCCUAUCACCUUCAUCACACAGAAAAUCCUGGAGGCCACACACCCCUGUAAAGACGAGCCAUUACCCACAGAGGUCCAACCAACUUACCACCCUCUCCCAGCCACCCCCAAGGACCCAGCUUGCAGCUGCCUGCUCAAUGGCUUUAGAAACUAAAAAAGGUGAAUGAGUUUCCAUCACUGCCCUCCUGGGCUUUGCCGUUAUGGCUGGUUAACUUGACAGAAGAACACAUUAUACUUCAUUUUUUGCUGUUGUCUUGUUGGAAAAAAAAGUGACAGCUGGGUGCAGUGGUGCACACUGUAGUCACAGCUACUCAGGAGAAUUGCUUGAGCACAGGAAUUGGAGGCUACACUGAGCAAUGAUCGCCUCACUGCACUCCAGCCUGAACGACAGAGCAAGACCCUCUUAAAAAAUACGUGAGAGAGGGUGCGUAUGAUGGCUCAUGCCUGUAAUCCCAGCAGUUUG